This is a non-coding RNA of Ictidomys tridecemlineatus (thirteen-lined ground squirrel), 72 nucleotides long. Lineage: Eukaryota; Metazoa; Chordata; Mammalia; Rodentia; Sciuridae. The record is from Rfam.
UGUGUUGUGGCUCAGUGGUAGAGUACUCGCUUAGCAUGUGUGAGGCACUGGGUUCGAUCCUCAGCACCAUGU